This 547-nucleotide ribosomal RNA is filed under the name uncultured bacterium. Its description in RNAcentral is "bacterial SSU rRNA". It matches the Rfam family "Bacterial small subunit ribosomal RNA", at positions 355 to 896 of the family's 1533-position model. The record is from RNAcentral.
UGGGGAAUAUUGCGCAAUGGGGGGAACCCUGACGCAGCCAUGCCGCGUGAAUGAAGAAGGCCUUCGGGUUGUAAAGUUCUUUCGGUAUUGAGGAAGGUUGAUGUGUUAAUAGCACAUCAAAUUGACGUUAAAUACAGAAGAAGCACCGGCUAACUCCGUGCCAGCAGCCGCGGUAAUACGGAGGGUGCGAGCGUUAAUCGGAAUAACUGGGCGUAAAGGGCACGCAGGCGGUUAUUUAAGUGAGGUGUGAAAGCCCCGGGCUUAACCUGGGAAUUGCAUUUCAGACUGGGUAACUAGAGUACUUUAGGGGGGGGUAGAAUUCCACGUGUAGCGGUGAAAUGCGUAGAGAUGUGGAGGAAUACCGAAGGCGAAGGCAGCCCCUUGGGAAUGUACUGACGCUCAUGUGCGAAAGCGUGGGGAGCAAACAGGAUUAGAUACCCUGGUAGUCCACGCUGUAAACGCUGUCGAUUUGGGGGUUGGGGUUUAACUCUGGCGCCCGUAGCUAACGUGAUAAAUCGACCGCCUGGGGAGUACGGCCGCAAGGUUA